This 566-nucleotide ribosomal RNA is filed under the name uncultured archaeon. Its description in RNAcentral is "bacterial SSU rRNA". It matches the Rfam family "Archaeal small subunit ribosomal RNA", at positions 312 to 879 of the family's 1478-position model. The record is from RNAcentral.
CGCGAUUCGCCCUUCGGGGUGCGCAGGCGCGAAAACUUUACAAUGCGGGAAACCGUGAUAAGGGGACACCGAGUGCCAGCAUCAUAUGCUGGCUGUCCAGGUGUGUAAACUACACCUGUUAGCAAGGGCCGGGCAAGACCGGUGCCAGCCGCCGCGGUAACACCGGCGGCCCGAGUGGUGAUCGUGAUUAUUGGGUCUAAAGGGUCCGUAGCCGGUUUGGUCAGUCCUCCGGGAAAUCUGACGGCUCAACCGUUAGGCUUUCGGGGGAUACUGCCAGGCUUGGAACCGGGAGAGGUAAGAGGUACUACAGGGGUAGGAGUGAAAUCUUGUAAUCCCUGUGGGACCACCUGUGGCGAAGGCGUCUUACCAGAACGGGUUCGACGGUGAGGGACGAAAGCUGGGGGCACGAACCGGAUUAGAUACCCGGGUAGUCCCAGCCGUAAACGAUGCUCGCUAGGUGUCAGGCAUGGCGCGACCGUGUCUGGUGCCGCAGGGAAGCCGUGAAGCGAGCCACCUGGGAAGUACGGCCGCAAGGCUGAAACUUAAAGGAAUUGGCGGGGGAGCAC